Long non-coding RNA from Dermacentor silvarum, 1134 nucleotides. RefSeq lists it as uncharacterized. NCBI's taxonomy places the organism in Eukaryota, Metazoa, Arthropoda, Arachnida, Ixodida, Ixodidae. The record is from RefSeq and is a predicted model, not a curated record. The transcript has 2 exons.
CUUCGAGCCAUGCAGCCGCCUAUUCGGAAGCCCUUCUCGCCCGAGCAGCGAACGCGGCCAGGACCGCGUCGUCAAUCGGCCGCCGGCAUUUGGAGCCGUCCUGUCGACGCUGUCGGGCCGCGCGCACGCCGGCGCGUGCCACGGAAGAGCCGCCGGUGGCCGCCUCCUCGCCGAUACUCACGGCAGAGCGGGUCCAAGCCCCUUCCUGCUCGCUGCUGCCAGUGUUUCGCGGAGUUCGCGCAGCAGCAUCGGCGCUGAUGUCGAAGAAGCUGACGGGUUACUUCCAGCGGCUGGAUCACGGAUGAAAGCGUCCGAGGAAACGGCAGACUCGUCAUUGUUGCAGCACGCUCAAUUGCCUUCACUGAGUGACAAGCUCCAAAUGCCUUAUUGACGAACUGCGUCCUAGAUCCCAGUUGGCAUGGUCGAUCAACGUAGUACAUACUGCUCUUUGGAGAAAGGGAAGGCAUUUCCGUACGAGAGUGAAUGAUACAGCGAGUUAUCUAUUUCAAGGGAAACAGACAUAAAAGAUUGCCUGUGGUAAAUAUCGCAAUUCUAUCACAUUACAGGCGGACACAUGCCCGCCAGACAAAUUGCAGAGGUAACAAACACAAACAAAGUGAGGAAUAUUUCCCUAAUUAACUUUGUAAUUAUUCGCUUUAGAUUCACAACUGCGGAAUUGAUACGAGCAGUAAUCAAUUCGUAGCUAGAUAGCAGAAAUCAUGUGUUUAGCAACACUCAAUGUCCAACUCUGCUACACACAGUUAUGCGGUGCACGUGAUCGAAGACGCAGGCUCUACAACUUCUUUUCACCCCCAUGUGCAUAAAUAAAUAUUUAACCAUACCCAGAAAUUACAUCACCCUAUCGUAAAAUCAUAUAAGCCCCGCUCAAUAAUCCUGUUUGUUCCUGCAUGAUUUAGAUAGGAACAAACAGAAUUAUGAAACAGGGCAUAUAUGUUUUUCUGAUAUAGGGCAGCUGGUUGUCUACCUAGAUGCGUUACAAUAUUUAUACUGAGUUGCUCAAGGCGACCUCAUAGAAUAUGCCAUAGAUGUCAUCCAUUCGCGAUGUAGUACUUUUCUCAGAAGUCUUCAAGUCCAAACAAACAAACAAAUAAACAACCAAGCAAGCAAAAAAAC